RNAcentral lists this ribosomal RNA (406 nucleotides) under uncultured bacterium. Its description in RNAcentral is "partial 16S ribosomal RNA". It matches the Rfam family "Bacterial small subunit ribosomal RNA", at positions 30 to 526 of the family's 1533-position model. The record is from RNAcentral.
AUUGAACGCUGGCGGCAUGCCUAACACAUGCAAGUCGAACGAGUGGCGGACGGGUGAGUAAUGUCUGGGAAAUUGCCUGAUGGAGGGGGAUAACUACUGGAAACGGUAGCUAAUACCGCAUACCUUCCGAUGUGCCCAGAUUGGAUUAGCUUUUUGGUGGGGUAACGGCUAACCAAGUCGAUGAUCCCUAGCUGGUCUGCGAGGAUGACCAGCCACACUGGAACUGAGCCACGGUCCAGACUCCUACGGGAGGCAGCAGUGGGGAAUAUUGCACAAUGGGCGCAAGCCUGAUGCAGCCAUGCCGCGUGUAUGAAGAAGGCCUUCGGGUUGUAAAGUACUUUCAGCGGGGAGGCGUUACCCGAAGAGAAAGCACCGGCUAACUCCGUGCCAGCAGCCGCGGUAAUUC